CGCCUCUCUCCUCUACUGCUCCCUGUUCCCGCCGCCCUCUCCCUCUCUCCUGUUCCCCGCCGCCGCCUCUCUCCCUCUCUUCUCCCUGCCUUCCUGCCACCGUCUCCUCCCCUCCUGCUCCCUGUCGCCACCCGCUCCCUGGGAUCCGGAUCCAGUGCGGGACAGGGCUCGGAGGGCGCGUGCCGGCUGGCCACGGUGACGGUGGCCAGCCGCCCCAACCAUGUCGACUCGGCGCGGCGGUCCAGCUCUGCCCCAUCCCCGCUCCGCUACAGUCGGAUUUGCCCCAGCGGUGGCCACGCUCAUCCCGUGUCUUGCGACGGCGCUCCUCUCCAGCCUGGUCGCCCGAAUCAUGUCGACCCGGCGCAGUGGCCCAGCUCCGCUAAGCCGUCUUCGACCCGGCGCCUCACUCUACGGCGGUGGCCACGCUCCUCCCGGAUCUUGCAGCGGCGCUCUCCUCCAGCCUCGUCCCUCCUCCAUGCGCUAUGGCAGGCGCAAGCUCCGGCGGUGGUGGCCGCGGCCGCGGCCGCCGCCGGCGCGCAAGUUCCGUGUGCGCCUGGUGGUCUGGCAAUCGAAGGGCUGCCCCUGCUGGCGCCUGCGCCUGCUACAGAGUCAGCCUCGUCGGAGCAGGAGGCGGCGGGCGCGGCGCCGCCGAGGGCUGUCGCGGCGGAGGUGAGGUGGAAGGGGCCCUGUGCGUUUGCGCUGGGUUCACUGCGGCGCGCUGCAGUCAGGCACAACAGCACGCGGGGGAGGUGAAGGCGGCGUGGGAGUUCGAGAGUAUCGUCACGCUUGCGGCCACAGCGCAGCGGGAGGGCGUCGCGUUCCAGCGCUGAGAUAUCCACGGCGUACGGCCAAGAUCCACGGCGGCGGGCGCAUCCUCAGCCCUUGUCCACUGUGGAUGGUGGUUCAGGCCCACUUUCAUCUUGGCUGAAAUACCAGCCCCUUCCUCAUUGCUAAACCUGCUGCGCGGCACCUCGGCUACGCGGGGAUGCAGCAUUCAUCUGCUGCAGCGCCCCUUCCUUGCAGGACAUCCCUACUCCUUGUGCCUUCCAUGCACCUGGUGCCUGCUUUUGGCUUAGGUGGCCGGUUGCUGCAAGCUGUUCUGCUUGCAUCUCAGGCAUUCGACGCAGAAUAGCAUCAAAGGAGACAUGCUGACUGGUAGAUGAGGUGCAAGUCUGAAGAUCCACAUCCACAAGGUGUGAUCUUUUGUCAUUUCUUUUCCCUACAGGUUUCUUAUAUGCUCCAUAUUUUGCUUAAGCUCAAUUCUGAUGGCAAGUACUAGCCAUAUUGUUCCUUAAUGUGGCUACAUUUUCAAUUCAUCUUCCAUACUACUACUUUAGUUAAUAAUUGUAUUUGUAUGGCUGACCAGUGUUCUUAAGAGGGAGUAAUAAUUAUAGAAGAGUCCAAUCUGUCGAGUUAUGAUUGGAAGCCUCAGAACUCAGAAUAGGUGAUUAGUUUGUAUCUAAUGACUACUGCUUUAGUGAAGAAUAUCGGUAAAACAGUUGGCCGUGAUCUACCAUUCCCCUAAUUUAGUGUAUUCAUUAGUUAAAUGAGAAUAUCAGUCAUAAUAUUGAGAUCAUUUAAUUAAUUUUGCAUGCUCACAUUUUUUCCCAUUCUCCCUCCUGAACUACUAUGCAUCUCUAUCCAAUAAGCAUAAUUGCAUCUUCUUUAUCUUGCAUUCUGUAUCUUGAAUUCCUAUGUACCCCUGCAUUGUAUGUGCAUGCUUGGUCAACAAUGGAUGGACCGACCUGAAAAGGAAAGCUGCUCUUGGCUACUCAAAUUGUUAGCUAUCUCAUACUCCCUCCUUCCCCGUUUGUAGGGUGCAUGACCAUUUUCAGCUUUUCUUCCAAUAUAAGGCGUGCAGCCUUGGGUUUUGUUACGCAGGAAUUAACUCAUGGAAGCAAUUAACUCACGGAAGCAUUUAAGCGCCUGCAGGAUUUCGCGGCGGGAGAACAUUUGCAUGCUGCCAUGCAGAAUUCCAUUUGCAUGUGGCCAUGCAAGGCUGCAUGCGGCCAUGCAACAUCUCUAAGAUCGAAGCGAUGCCGUUUGCUCUCCAUGUUAUUAAUGCAAAUCUUGGUACCUGUGUUAUUUGGUCAUGCGCGGAUGCGCCCUACAAACGGGGAAGGAGGGAGUAAUUAAGGAGCAGGGUGGCACCUCUGUUGCUCUCUGAACCACCAACCACACCACAAAGCGGCAGCAAGAUUACUGAACCGAGGCCUCAAAUGCUCGAAGCGAGGUGGCAAGGUGCCAGUGCCAGCCAAGCUCGGACGCAGCAUGGGCUGCUACAGCCUGGAGCCACGGGCAGACAAGGCCAUAUGGGCAUGUUGCGGUGGGUCAGUCCCGGGUGGUGGCGAGAGGGCGGCGUGGCAACAUGCUCCUGGUCGAGCUUGAGCUCAAGCAUAGCAACGAGCGCCGGCCAGCACGGCGGAUAUGCUCAUAGACCUGCUAUAUCCAGUUAUCAUUCUGAUUCCAUAUAUGGGUGAUAAGGGCAACUAGCACUAGAAAACUUUGUCACUAAUGACCACGAAACAACACUUACCUUUUAAUGUGCUAUCGCCUUGCAUUUAGGGAAGCAAAUAGUAAGGCAGUGAUCUAAGAGUACAUAUUGUGAUGUCAUUACUUUUAUUGGUCUUCCGCAGCACUAAGUCAUGAACCCAUGGAUUGUUCCUACAAUUCGACAUGUUGUCAUAUGUAAAACUUGUAUUUGAGUAAAACAGUGCAUAUGUUAGCAUAUUAACGAUGUAUUUAUUACAAUAUGGUGUGAUUUUGUGUCGAAUUAUUAU
Molecule: long non-coding RNA, 2780 nt
Organism: Panicum virgatum (switchgrass)
Lineage: Eukaryota; Viridiplantae; Streptophyta; Magnoliopsida; Poales; Poaceae
Exons: 2
Source: RefSeq, a predicted model, not a curated record